RNAcentral lists this ribosomal RNA (327 nucleotides) under uncultured Bacteroidota bacterium. RNAcentral describes it as "bacterial SSU rRNA". It matches the Rfam family "Bacterial small subunit ribosomal RNA", at positions 28 to 351 of the family's 1533-position model. Lineage: Bacteria; Pseudomonadati; Bacteroidota. The record is from RNAcentral.
GAUGAACGCUAGCGGCAGGCCUAAUACAUGCAAGUCGAGGGGCAGCGGGUGUAGCAAUACAUGCCGGCGACCGGCGCACGGGUGCGUAACGCGUAUGCAACUUACCUCUAACAGGGGAAUAGCCCCGAGAAAUCGGGAUUAAUACCUCAUAACAUUUAUCAUUCGCAUGUUUGAUAAAUUAAAGCUCCGGCGGUUAGAGAUGGGCAUGCGUGACAUUAGCUAGUUGGUGAGGUAACGGCUCACCAAGGCUGCGAUGUCUAGGGGUUCUGAGAGGACAUUCCCCCACACUGGUACUGAGACACGGACCAGGACUCCUACGGGAGGCAG